AGAGUUUGAUCAUGGCUCAGAGCGAACGCUGGCGGCAGGCCUAACACAUGCAAGUCGAGCGGCCGUAGCAAUACGGCAGCGGCAGACGGGAGAGUAACACGUGGGAACGCGCCCUUCGGUUCGGAAUAACUCAGGGAAACUUGGGCUAAUACCGGAUACGCCCUUACGGGGAAAGAUUUAUUGCCGAAGGAACGGUCCGCGUCCGAUUAGCUUGUUGGUGAGGUAACGGCUCACCAAGGCGACGAUCGGUAGCUGGUCUGAGAGGAUGACCAGCCUCACUGGGACUGAGACACGGCCCAGACUCCUACGGGAGGCAGCAGUGGGGAAUAUUGGACAAUGGGCGCAAGCCUGAUCCAGCCAUGCCGCGUGAGUGAUGAAGGCCCUAGGGUUGUAAAGCUCUUUUGUGCGGGAAGAUAAUGACGGUACCGCAAGAAUAAGCCCCGGCUAACUUCGUGCCAGCAGCCGCGGUAAUACGAAGGGGGCUAGCGUUGCUCGGAAUCACUGGGCGUAAAGGGUGCGUAGGCGGGUCUUUAAGUCAGGGGUGAAAUCCUGGAGCUCAACUCCAGAACUGCCUUUGAUACUGAAGAUCUUGAGUUCGGAAGAGGUGAGUGGAACUGCGAGUGUAGAGGUGAAAUUCGUAGAUAUUCGCAAGAACACCAGUGGCGAAGGCGGCUCACUGGCCCGAUACUGACGCUGAGGCACGAAAGCGUGGGGAGCAAACAGGAUUAGAUACCCUAGUAGUCC
RNAcentral lists this ribosomal RNA (744 nucleotides) under uncultured bacterium. Its description in RNAcentral is "bacterial SSU rRNA". It matches the Rfam family "Bacterial small subunit ribosomal RNA", at positions 8 to 796 of the family's 1533-position model. The record is from RNAcentral.